AAAUCUUUCGAGCAUAGAACGCACACAGACGUAGUUUUGCGUGUUCGACGCGCCGGCGCGUUCUGGGAACGGCCUGUCGUUGCGGACGGCCUGGAGGGGCCUGCGAGUAUUUCCAUCAUUAAGGUGCGCUUCCGCUCAUGGAGACCACCCGCAACCUAUCAACAAAGAAAGCGGUUCGAUUUGCGCUGGCGCAAACUCGGCGACCCACGGUUCCGGCUAAAGAGAGGAACAAAUCAUCGAU
Molecule: unclassified non-coding RNA, 241 nt
Filed under: Hevea brasiliensis (rubber tree)
Lineage: Eukaryota; Viridiplantae; Streptophyta; Magnoliopsida; Malpighiales; Euphorbiaceae
Source: RNAcentral